This 468-nucleotide ribosomal RNA is filed under the name uncultured bacterium. RNAcentral describes it as "partial 16S ribosomal RNA". It matches the Rfam family "Bacterial small subunit ribosomal RNA", at positions 28 to 507 of the family's 1533-position model. The record is from RNAcentral.
GACGAACGCUGGCGGCGUGCUUAACACAUGCAAGUCGAACGGAAAGGCCCUGCUUUUGUGGGGUGCUCGAGUGGCGAACGGGUGAGUAACACGUGAGUAACCUGCCCUUGACUUUGGGAUAACUUCAGGAAACUGGGGCUAAUACCGGAUAGGAGCUCCUGCUGCAUGGUGGGGGUUGGAAAGUUUCGGCGGUUGGGGAUGGACUCGCGGCUUAUCAGCUUGUUGGUGGGGUAGUGGCUUACCAAGGCUUUGACGGGUAGCCGGCCUGAGAGGGUGACCGGCCACAUUGGGGCUUAGGUACGGCCCAGACUCCUACGGGAGGCAGCAGUGGGGAAUAUUGCACAAUGGGCGGAAGCCUGAUGCAGCAACGCCGCGUGCGGGAUGACGGCCUUCGGGUUGUAAACCGCUUUCGCCUGUGACGAAGCGUGAGUGACGGUAAUGGGUAAAGAAGCACCGGCUAACUACGCG